RNAcentral lists this transfer RNA (541 nucleotides) under uncultured cyanobacterium. RNAcentral describes it as "partial 16S-23S ribosomal RNA intergenic spacer". The stretch from base 212 to 284 matches the Rfam family "tRNA". Lineage: Bacteria; Bacillati; Cyanobacteriota. The record is from RNAcentral.
CAGGGAGACAACAAAAUGUUUAAUAUUAUUAUUUUGUCACCUUAGGUCGAUCGGUAUCUCACGUUUUUAAUUUAUUAAGAAUUUCAUUUCCUAAGUUUUUCUAGGUCACACCCAUUAUUUUUCCUGGGCCAUUAGCUCAGGUGGUUAGAGCGCACCCCUGAUAAGGGUGAGGUCCCUGGUUCAAGUCCAGGAUGGCCCAUAUCUCCAUGCUGGGGGUAUAGCUCAGUUGGUAGAGCGCCUGCUUUGCAAGCAGGAUGUCAGCGGUUCGAGUCCGCUUACCUCCACUGAUUACCACCUCUUCCAUAAUCUGUAGAAAGGAAAUGUUUUGAGUUGUGAUCAAAUUCUGAACGAAUCUAGCUUCCUAAUGUAACUAUUAAGAUGCUGGACUCAUUGAAUAAAUUUCAUUGUUUUCAGAGAACCUUGACAACUGCAUAGAUUAUUUUUUAAAGACAAUAAGCAUCUUUAAUGAUGCAGAUUUAUUAUUUGUGCAAAUGCAUUAAUAACAAUUCUAUUAAGCUGAUGCUUCAAUUUUGAAGUUAUU